UUUUCUAACAAAAGGGGGGUGAAAUGGGGAAAUACACGGAGAUUUUGGAUGCAGGUGUGAGAAUAGUCGCAAGGUUUCAUUCUCACUGCCCCCAGACUGCUCGUCUCUAUUAUCACCCACCGGCUGACUCCAACCCCCACCACCACAGCGUCUCCGACAAUAUUGGCAGCAUCUCAAGAGAAGUCUCGGCGCAUAUGGGGUUCUACGGUUCCAAGGCGGCGGCUGGUGCUGACUUGAAAGAGAUCAUUAUUUUUUCCCUUUGACGAGAGAGAUUUACAAUUUUGGAAUUCUCCUAUCGAUUAUCUUUUUAAAACUGCUCAAAGUUUAACAGAUUGCUUGUAUUUGUUUCUGGACUUGACAGAUUCUUUUACAAAUAAACGAGGAAUUUGAUUUAC
Molecule: long non-coding RNA, 395 nt
Organism: Hibiscus syriacus
Lineage: Eukaryota; Viridiplantae; Streptophyta; Magnoliopsida; Malvales; Malvaceae
Exons: 3
Source: RefSeq, a predicted model, not a curated record